CACUCUAGAGAGACUGCCAGGGAUAACCUGGAGGAAGGUGGGGAUGACGUCAAAUCAUCAUGCCCCUUAUGCUUAGGGCUACACACGUGCUACAAUGGGUAGUACAGAGGGUUGCCAAGCCGUAAGGCGGAGCUAAUCCCUUAAAGCUACUCUCAGUUCGGAUUGUAGGCUGAAACUCGCCUACAUGAAGCUGGAGGUACUAGUAAUCGCAGAUCAGAAUGCUGCGGUGAAUGCGUUCCCGGGUCUUGUACACAC
Molecule: ribosomal RNA, 255 nt
Filed under: Clostridioides difficile
Lineage: Bacteria; Bacillati; Bacillota; Clostridia; Peptostreptococcales; Peptostreptococcaceae
Description: partial 16S ribosomal RNA
Rfam family: Bacterial small subunit ribosomal RNA
Source: RNAcentral